This 501-nucleotide ribosomal RNA is filed under the name uncultured bacterium. Its description in RNAcentral is "partial 16S ribosomal RNA". It matches the Rfam family "Bacterial small subunit ribosomal RNA", at positions 30 to 523 of the family's 1533-position model. The record is from RNAcentral.
AUUGAACGCUGGCGGCAGGCUUAACACAUGCAAGUCGAGCGGAGAUGAGGUGCUUGCACCUUAUCUUAGCGGCGGACGGGUGAGUAAUGCUUAGGAAUCUGCCUAUUAGUGGGGGACAACAUUCCGAAAGGAAUGCUAAUACCGCAUACGUCCUACGGGAGAAAGCAGGGGAUCUUCGGACCUUGCGCUAAUAGAUGAGCCUAAGUCGGAUUAGCUAGUUGGUGGGGUAAAGGCCUACCAAGGCGACGAUCUGUAGCGGGUCUGAGAGGAGGAUCCGCCACACUGGGACUGAGACACGGCCCAGACUCCUACGGGAGGUAGCAGUGGGGAAUAUUGGACAAUGGGGGGAACCCUGAUCCAGCCAUGCCGCGUGUGUGAAGAAGGCCUUAUGGUUGUAAAGCACUUUAAGCGAGGAGGAGGCUACUGAGACUAAUACUCUUGGAUAGUGGACGUUACUCGCAGAAUAAGCACCGGCUAACUCUGUGCCAGCAGCCGCCGUAA